Molecule: long non-coding RNA, 350 nt
Organism: Salvelinus namaycush (lake trout)
Lineage: Eukaryota; Metazoa; Chordata; Actinopteri; Salmoniformes; Salmonidae
Exons: 3
Source: RefSeq, a predicted model, not a curated record
AACACGUUUCCACAAUGCAAAUAAUAACAAAAUAACCACGUUGUUACGUGUUAGUUGACAUUUGUAUUGUGGUCAGACAUGACCUGAAUGUAGAACCUUUGAACUGGAAGUAUUCUAUAGAUUUUAGGCCAUGGUUUCCUGAUCAAAAUGUUGCUUCUUAUGGAUUCAGUGAUCAUGUUCACCUCACAGGUGCUGUUCUUUGGCUUUGGGUGGCUGUUCUUCAUGCGGCAGCUGUUCAAAGACUAUGAGUUCCAGGUAUUUCCACUGGAAGUUCAACCUGUAUGUGAUUCUACUGGUUCUAAUCUUCGUAGUGCCUUUUUAUAUUGGCUACUUUGUCGUCAGCAACAUCC